Molecule: long non-coding RNA, 26992 nt
Filed under: Podarcis lilfordi (Lilford's wall lizard)
Lineage: Eukaryota; Metazoa; Chordata; Lepidosauria; Squamata; Lacertidae
Source: RNAcentral
GGAAAUGGCUUUGUCAAGCAGUUCUGGGCACAGGUAUUUCUCUGUUUAUUUCCAAACUCCAAUACAGAGGAGCAGGCCAGUGGAACCUGCACUGGCGAGGAGAAGCUGGAAAAUCUCCCUUCGUCUGGCUUUGAGAUGAGCAUAACAAGCCACAGCUAUAGCGUCUAUAAUGCUGUUUAUGCCACAGCACAUGCUUUACAUGCCAUGUUCUUGUCCAGGACCAAAUACAGGGCAGCGGUGGAAGGAGGGAUGCAGAAGCUUCAGAAACUGCAGCCUUGGCAGGUAAUGCCUAUUAUAACGUACAAGUUAUUUGACAUGGGCAGUGAAGUGAUCUCUUUCAGCUUUUGCCUUCCGGAAGAAAGUACAGGGUUAUAAAGACUAGGACUAGCCUCCUGAGAAACAGUUUUUAUUCGAGUGUGAUUUUGGUUUUAAACACAGUGUAAGGUAGUCUCUAUGGGAGUCUGUUGUAUUUAAUGAACCAGGCUGGGAUAGCUGGGAUAGCAGGCUUGUUGGUUUCUGAAUGUGUGAUGUAGAUUUUAAGUUUCAUUGUUCUGUAUGGGACAAUGACAAUAAAGAUUAUCGUAUCGUAUCGAAAUGUAGAAGACUACACUGAAAAUUUUCAAGUACUGACUGCAAACUAGGAUCCUCCGCUUAACGUAUGCAGAUAAGCUGCUCCUCCAGCUGUUAAGCAGUUGCUGCGAAUCCUGCACUGUCCUGCUUCUUUGUUGUUGCUUUUUUAAUUAAUUUUUAUUAACAGGCCAAUCAAAUCACAUUAAUUAUAAAUCACAUUAGUUCCAAAUUAUACAGCCAAAUUUUUAAAUUUUUGUUGGGGGUACCCAUACUUCGAGCUCCAAAAGGGAUCCAAACAUCACUCUUGUUGCUGCUUUAAUUACACAGUUCUGUCCAGUUCUGUCCAGAUAGUCUCUUUGUUAUUUUCCUCAUCUUCUUGUUGUUAUCAUAUAUUCCUUUCUUUGUGAUCUCUGAUAAUCUUCACAAGCGGGCUGAAAACAAACAUAUCCUGUGUGGAUAUUACACUCUCCAAGAGCCAUUUCCACACCUCCGCAAAGAACAUUCCCACAGUCUGUCCGUUGAUUUCCACAGGCUUGCCAAUCUGUAUCUAAGGGGGCCCUGCCAGGUCAAAUUCACAUUCCGAUAACCAUACAUUCACAUUCCAAUGACCAUGGUCCUCCCCCCCCUCGUCCUCCUGUGGGCAGGCCUGUCUUAACGAAUCUCCAUUUGUAACUGCGUCAUAAAGCUUUCUUUCCAUCCGAUGUUCCCACCAGUCCUCUCUUUGAUCAGUAAUUCAUUUCCAGACAGUUCUUAAUCUCCUGCUUGUGAUUAGUAAUUUGCGACGAUUCUUUCUAUGUGGGGGGGAGGGUUAUUGGGUACUCACAUAAGACACACAAAAAAGAAAAGUUUUUCCUCCCCCCUUUCUGUUUCGCUCUGACAUACCGAUCUUUUAAUGAUGAGUCUUCACUUGAUUUAUUGUCCAACCCAUCGCUCUACAUCAUAGAGAUCCCAUUAAUCAGCAGUCUUUACUCCCGAUCUUCACUUGAAGUAUGUGCAUUUGCUUCUAUUCCAAUUAAAUAUUUCGAGCUGAUGCAAACCAGUGCACGAUUCAGAGACAGCGUCCGGGAGAGCCGACUCCACCCGAGGGCUUUGUGCCUAGUGCCCUCACCCCCUCCUUUCGAAUCCAGGGGUGAAUUAUGGACACAGCAGGCAAGGCAGUACCCCCAAUUCCCUGGGGGGGGAGGGAGACUGCAUACUCCCAUAACAGCCUCUUAAUUACCUCGUGUGGGUCGGAGAGAUGUUACUGUCGGCCAUCUUCCAAUGCGCCCCCUGGUGGCCCCCCUGUGCUGCUUCUUUGUUAGUAGGUAUCUAUGUUUGUAGAGAAACUGUAAGUGAAGCAGGAUCUGAUCUUGCUCUGUCCUGCUCCUUUACAAGCAGUUUCUCUGCACACAAGUUGAGGGGAGGAUACAAGCCUACAAUGAGAGGAGAAGGUGAGAGCAGCUCAGAGAAUUCACAUGUAGGCUGAGUUUCCCCAAACCAAAAGGCUUUGUUGCCCGUUUGCUCCCAAAGUGAAGGGAAGUGACAUAGACGAAGCCUGAUAGGACAACUUGCUGCAUGGAAUUAACCCCCUUCACGGGUUGAUUAGAAGCAUGAUGGUUAUAUGAGGCCUACAAUUCUCUUCCAUGGGGUGGGAGAUAUUCAAGGGGUGGGAACUGAAAUCCAUGGAUUUUGGUCGGGAAUGCAUUAGGAUUUUCCCUAUAGGAGAGAAAGGAAAUCAUUGGCUCUCUCUGUGAAUGCUCGCCUUACGAACCAAUUCCAAUGAGUGGAUUCUGUUUGCAUAGGAGUCCCUGCCAGAACUGAACGCUGAAGGCAUCCUGAGUGUCAGUAAGGAGAGACAUAUGCAUUACUUCAUAGUUCCUAUUUUUCUUCCAAUGCAGCUCCAUCCCUUCCUUAGGAGUGUCUCCUUUAACAACUCUGCUGAAGAAACGGUAUCUUUCAGUGAGAGCAGGGAAGCAGAAGCUGGCUUUGAUAUUGCCAACAUAGUGACUUUUCCAAAUAACUCCUUCAUGAGAGUCAAGGUUGGAAGACUGGGUGGGGAGGCUGUCCCAGGCCAGCUGAUUUCCAUUGAUGACAACAGACUGGUGUGGCACCAAAGCUUUCACCAGGUGAGGCAUAAUUCUUACAUCCUUGAGAGACGGGAAAAGAGAAUAUCUUUAACAUAUAGAGAUAGGAAAAGAGAAUAUAUUUAACAUUACAUUCCAACAGAUUACGCUCCAUUUGAGAUAUUUGUUCCCCAGAUGGUCAGGUUGAGUACACUUUUUUAAAGCAUGAAUAGAAAAAUGAGUAGUUUGGCUCUGAGUCUGGAAUAAGUAUUUUAGUGUCUUCCUAUUUCUAGCUGGGGGUGGGUUGAAAUACUACUAAUUUCUGUGUGCUAAAAUGUUUAUGUGUUUAUUUAAAUGGGCAGGUUUCACCCCUUUCGUUAUGUAACCCAAGUUGCCCUCCUGGUUCCAGGAAGGAAAAGAAGGAGGGGGAGCCAUUCUGCUGCUAUGAUUGUGCUCCAUGUCCUCAAGGCAAGAUUUCAUCACAGAAAGGUAGGAGACACAAUAUAUACAUGGUACUUUUCAAAUGUAUAAAGGAGACAUCUGUGAUAUUUCUAUUUGAACCUUAAGAGUUUCACAGUGCUAGCAUUUGUAGUUGCUAUCCAGAACAUCUGAAAUCUGAAUAUAUUAUUUUCUCUCCAGAUAUGGAUGACUGUGUUGGGUGCCCCGAAGAUCACUAUCCACACAGAGACCAAUCACAAUGCAUUCCAAAGACCAUCAGCUUCCUGUCUUUUAAAGAGCCUCUGGGGAUGAGCUUAACAUUGUUUGCUCUUUCUCUCUUUCUCUUCACAAUAUUAGUCCUUGCCAUCUUCAUUAAACAUCAGGACACACCCAUUGUCAGAGCAAACAAUCGGGACCUCACCUACACUCUCCUCACUUUCCUCCUGCUCUGCUUCCUCUGCCCAUUGAUCUUCCUUUGCCCUCCAGAAAGAGUGAGCUGCCUGCUCCGACAAAUGGCUUUUGGCCUUGUUUUCACAGUGACCGUUUCUUGUGUUCUGGCCAAAACGAUCACGGUGGUUCUGGCCUUUGUGGCCACCAAACCAGGAUCCCAAAUGAGGAAGUGGGUGGGGAAAAGACUGGCAAGCUCCAUUGUGAUUUCUUGUUCCCUUAUCCAAGCAGGCAUUUGCACUGUGUGGUUAGGAACAUCUCCCCCAUUCCCUGAUUCUGACAUGCACUCUGCGAUGAGGGAAAUUAUUCUAGGCUGCAACGAAGGGUCAGUUGCCCUGUUUUACUGUGUCCUGGGCUACAUGGGCUUUUUGGCCAUUCUCAGCUUUGUUGUGGCCUUUUUCGCCAGGAAACUGCCUGACAGCUUUAAUGAGGCCAAAUUCAUCACCUUCAGCAUGUUGCUCUUUUGUAGUGUUUGGAUCUCGUUUGUUCCAGUGUACCUGAGCACCAAGGGGAAAUACAUGGUGGCUGUGGAGAUCUUCUCCAUCUUGGCCUCCAGUGCUGGGAUACUGGGCUCCAUCUUUGCCCCCAAAUGCUACAUCAUUGUGUUGAGGCCUGAUCUGAACUGCAAGGAGAAGUUAAUAAAGAAGAAAUAACAAAUUACCCUAACAUCUCUGGUUUUUGUUCUAUCAGAAUAUGGGCAAAUUAAUCUCUCUUUUUCUACAUCGUAUAACCAUGUUGUAUUUUAUCUGUUACAAUUCCUAUGUGAUUCUCCAGUAAGUAAGGUUUCAGUGGAACUGCUACCGUCAGGAUUAAUCAGUAGCAUUGAUUUCAGUAGUUACAGGCAAUAUUUGCUACACAAUUUCUGGAUUUUUUAAUUAUUUCUUUACUUUUCAAUUUCUUUUUUUUUAUUUAAAUGAUAUUUAUUAAAAGUUUAAAAAUUACAGAAAAAGAAAAAAAAAUAAAAAUAAAAAAGAACAGUAACAAAACAUAUAAAACAUAUAAAAGCAAUACAACAAUACAGCAAAAAAGAAAAACAAAGAAGAAACUAAAACAAGCAUCCAAUAUUCCAUAUCUUUACCUUUCCUUUACUUGUUUCAUCGACCUCCUCACACCUCCCUUUUUUUGUAUUCUAGUUCAAUUCACUAUUUCAGCAAGUUCUUUCCAUCUUUCUCAAUUUUUAUUCUAUAAUUUAUCUUAACGAUCUAACCUUGAUUUUUUUCAUUUCAACCCAUUAUCAAUCAGCUUUUACUUAAUUCUUUGUUACAUUUCUACUAAAACCAUGUAACUUCAUUCCAGCAUCCUUCUAACACUCAUUAAUUUUACAAUGUUUCUGUAAAUAUACUUUAAAUUUUUUCCAGUCUUCUUCCACCAACUCUUCUCCCUGGUCUCGAAUUCUGCCAGUCAUUUCCGCCAGUUCCAUGUACCCCAUCAGCUUCAUCUGCCAUUCUUCCCUGGUGGGUAGAUCUUGUGUCUUCCAAUACUUUGCAAUAAGUAUUCUUGCUGCUGUUGUAGCGUACAUAAAAAAAGUUCUAUCUUUCUUUGGCACCAAUUGGCCGACCAUGCCCAGGAGAAAGGCCUCUGGUUUCUUCAGAAAGGUAUAUUUAAACACCUUUUUCAUUUCAUUAUAGAUCAUCUCCCAGAAUGCCUUAAUCUUUGGGCAUGUCCACCAAAGGUGAAAGAAUGUACCUUCAGUUUCAUUACAUUUCCAACAUUUAUUAUCGGGCAAAUGAUAGAUUUUUGCAAGCUUGACUGGUGUUAUGUACCACCUAUAAAUCAUUUUCAUUAAAUUCUCUUUUAAGGCACUGCAUGCCGUAAACUUCAUACCAGUGGUCCAUAACUGUUCCCAGUCAGCCAUCAUAAUAUUAUGUCCAACAUCUUGUGCCCAUUUAAUCAUAGCAGAUUUCACCAUUUCAUUUUGAGUAUUCCAUUUCAACAGCAAGUUAUACAUUCUUGACAAAUUAACUUUAGGGUCUAACAAUUCUGUUUCCAACUUUGAUUUUUCCACCUGGAAGCCAAUUUUUUUAUCCAAAUUGUACGCCUCCAUUAUUUGAUAAUAAUGGAGCCAAUCUCGUACUCUGUUUUUUAGUUUUUCAAAGCUCUGCAGUUUUAAUCUGUCACCCUCUUGUUCCAAAAUUUCCCAAUACUUCAGCCAUUUGGCCUCCAUAUUGAGUUUUUUCUGAGCCUUUGCUUCCAUUGGUGACAACCAUCUCGGGGUUUUAUUUUCUAACAAAUCCUUAUAUCUUAUCCAGACAUUAAACAGUGCUUUUCUUACAAUAUGGUUUUUGAACACUUUGUGUGCUUUAACCUUAUCAUACCACAAAUAUGCAUGCCAACCAAAUACAUUAUUGAAACCUUCCAAAUCCAAAACAUCCGUGUUUUCAAGACGCAUCCAUUCUCUCAGCCAACAAAAAGCGGCUGAUUUAUAAUAAAGUGUUAAGUCUGGCAGGGCAAAUCCACCUCUUUCUUUAGCAUCAGUUAAUAUCUUAAAUUUUAUACGAGGCUUCUUGCCCUGCCAGACAAAUCUGGAAAUAUCUCUCUGCCACUUCUCGAAACAGUCCAUUUUGUCCAAAAUUUGCAGUGUUUGAAACAAAAAUAGCAUUCUUGGCAAUACAUUCAUUUUUAUCACAGCAAUUUGGCCCAGCAGUGAAAGCUUCAAAUUUGACCAUAUUUCUAAAUCUUUUUUCACUUCAGUCCAACAUUUUUCAUAAUUAUCCUUAAAUAAAUUCACAUUCUUAGCAGUCAUAUUAACCCCUAAAUAUUUCACUUUCUUAGCCAGCGUCAGUCCUGUCUCCUUCUGAAACUUCUCUCUCUCUAUCUCUGUUAGGUUCUUUUCUAAAACCUUAGUUUUCAUCUUAUUCAACUUAAAACCUGCUACCUGACCAAAUUCUUGAAUUAGUUCUAAUACUCUUUUAGUGCUAGGUUCUGGCUCCUGUAAAGUCAAUACUAAAUCAUCAGCAAAUGCUUUCAAUUUGUACUGUUUGGCUCCCACUUGUAUACCUUUUACCAAUUGGUCCCUUCUAUACUUUUCAAUUUCAAUACCACUUUAUAUUUUUAAUAAAAAUCUCAAAGUGGUGUACAGCAUAUCAAAACAAAUAAAACAAUAAUGCAAUAGCUGGGUGAUGUUCCUCCGGCCUCAUUGGUCUUACUUAUAACAAGGGUGGUAUUGCUAAUGGGCUUUGGUUCAGAAGAUGGGACUGGUUGGUUCUGAAUGAAUAUUUUGAAGAAAAACCGUUUUGAACAUGAGUGCAACAAAAAUCCUUUUAAUUAGAAAAUACAAUAUUAUCACACAUUCUUGGGAAAAUGGUGGAACAAGAAAUUUGGUAAAUAAAAAGACCAUUUUAUUCCAUAACCCACUAUGAAUACUGAAUACAUCUGGGCAAUUGUAAAGUUAAUUCUCUCUUACAUCUUGAUAUCUCAGAUACGUUAAUUAACCAUUCCUUUUGUAUUUGCUAAUCAUUUUUUCUUUAUUACAUCUAUAUACCACCCCUCCAAAUAGUUCUUUGUUUCACAUACUCACAUUUUUUGGGGCAGUCUAUAUGUUUCCAUAUCUGAGGUGUUUUUCUAUUAGGAGCGGAAAUAGCUGCUUGUGCUUAUAAUAAUAAUAUAAUAAUACUUUAUUAUUUAUACCCCACUCAUCUGGCUGUUUUCCCCCAGCCAUUCUGGGCAGCUUCCAGCACAAUAUUAAAAUACAAUGAUUCAUCAAAUAUUAAAAGCUUCUCUAAACAGGGCUGCCUUCAGAUGUCUUCUAAAAGUCUGAUAGUUGUUUAUAUCUUUGACAUCUGAUGGGAGGGCGUUCUACAGGGCGGGCGCCACUACCAAGAAGGCCCUCUGCCUGCUUCCCUGUAACCUCACUUUUCGCAGUGAGGGAACCACCAGAAGGCCCUUGGCGCUGGACUUCAGUGUCUAGGCUGAACAAUGGGGAUGGAGACACUCCUUCAUGUAUACUGGGCCGAGGCCAUUUAGGGCUUUAAAGGUCAGCACCAACACUUUGAAUUGUGCCCAGAAAAUUACUGGGAGCCAAUGUAGGUCUUUCAGGAUGAGUGUUAUGUGGUCUUGGCAGCCUCUCCCAGUCACCAGUCUAACUGCCGCAUUCUGAAUUAGUUGUAGUUUCUAGGUCACUUUCAAAGGUAGCUGUCAGGGAACUGCCAUCAGUGCCGGAGGGAGAGAGCAAAAUCCAGAGGGAUUCCAGAGAGCAUCCCGGGAUUGGAAGAGGCAGCCAAUCUUCUGGGGAAGAGAAUCAGUGUAGCACCAGUGGAGAAGGGGGGCAGAUGGGGGAAGCGGCGAGGCGGUCCCAUGACUCCUUGCCAGGGACCAGUGGUGAGAGUAGAGGUCCUCCGCUGCCUACGCCCUCCUUGCGCAGAAGGCUUUCGCGCAGAGAGAGUAGGAGGAGACUAGGCGUCAAAGAGCUUCUUUGCUGGAAGAAGUUUAAGAAAUGCCCACUGACGGAUUCUGCCAGCGAUUGAGACAGCCACGGGUGAGUGGCUGUCUGGACAGAAAAGGUUCACACAGGCAAUCCAGCCAGGUGUUUGCACCGGCUUAUGCACGAGCAACCCCUAGAACCAUUACAGUAGCCCUACACAGAGCCCAUUGCAGUAGUCCAAGCAGGAGAUAACCAGAGCAUGCACCACUCUGGCAAGACAUUCCAAGGACAGGUAGGGUCUCAGCCUGCGUACCGGAUGGAGCUGGUAGACAGCUGCCCAGGACACAGAAUUGACCUGUGCCUUCAUGGACAGCUGUGAGUCCAAAAUGACUCCCAGGCUGUGCACCCGGUCCUUCAGGGGCACAGUUACCUCAUUCUGGACCAGGGAGUCCUCCACACCAGCCCACCCCCUGUCCCCCAGAAACAGUACUUCUGUCUUGUCAGGAUUCAACCUCAAUCUGUUAGCUGCAAUCCAUCCUCCAACCGCCUCCAGACACUCACACAGAACUUGCAAAGAAUGUGUGGUUUCUGAACACCUUCUCAGGGUUAAUUUCCCAAUGCUGCAGGACAUGUAAAGGAGACGAGAGAGAUGCUAGCAUAUCAGGAAGGAGUGGGGUUUUCGAGUUCUAGUUUAACCAUAGGGGCCCAGCCUAUGAUCCUCCAUAGGCAAACAAGUAAAAGAGAUGGCUUAUACCUGUUAGAUAAGUUGAGGGUUAUGUUGUCUGGAAAGAUGAGCUGGGCCCUUUGGGAAAAUCAGCCCUGACAGCAGCCCUACAUACCACAUUCAGAUGAAAUCCUACAAUAAGAAGUGAAAGCAGCUAAUAGAAGCAAAUACGUUAUUGAGAGACUGCAGGACCAAGCAGAACCAUUUUACCUUAAAAUUACAUUUAAGGAAGAUACCAAGACACUCUUGGAAUUUGAGCAGGGCCCCAAAACAGCAAAAACUAGCUUACCUCACCCUAAUUACAACCUUUAGAAUCAUAGGCCCCACCAGCAGGCUUUAUCCAGAAAUAUAUGGCCUAUUGCUCUCUAUCAGUCUACCGAAGAAGCUACAAGCUCAGAAACCAUGGCUCUCUUGGACUCCUAUACCAAUAAUUUGGAGCUUUCACCACUGUAACUAAGCCAAGUGCUACUGCCUGUGUUUUCUGACUGAUGUAUGGAGAAACACAUGAACCUGACCUUUGAAGCGUUUGUAAGUAAGCCAGUUUUCACUGACCAGAUGUGUGGUCCUUUUCAAUGGUAAGAGGAGAAGGAAGUUUUGGAACUCAUGGGAGUAUAUUUUUAAGAUCUAACAACCUAUAUUUCCACGCCUUAUUUGCUGAAUAUUUUGUGAUUUGAAACAUCUGCUGGGGUUCUCUCACCAAAGAGUACUUGCCCCAAACAUGGAUCUUGGCAUCCAGGGAAUUCUCCCUUUUUAUACUUAAUUUUCCUUGCAACCUACACAAAUCAUCUGUCAUAACUCAAUCUCUUUCACAAUUUUUCACUCUUAGUAUGAUUGUCAGUAAAUUAAUGAACAGAUGUUCAGGGUGGAAUUUUUGGAGGUCAGACUUAUCAUUUCCACUCUUCAGAUGAAGCUUUUCUUUUUUUUUUUUAAAUAAUUUUUAUUAAGGUUUUAAACAAAGAAAAAAGAAAAACAACACACACCAAAAAAAAAAAACAAUACAAAAUUUAACAAUAAAAACACAAAACGUAACAAUUAAAAACAAACUCUCUUUUUCAUUCCCCAUUUUAAAUUACUUAUUUUCUGGACUUCCUCAUACCUCCCUCUUUUGUAUUCCAAUCCACAUUAUUUGUCCAGCAGUUUCUUUUCCACUUUUUUAAACCCAAUCUUUAAUUUAAUAAAGUGUUAAAAUAUAUAACUUCAACUUUUUUUUUUAAACCUAAUCCUUGUUCUUAAUGUCAUAUACCUUUAAAUUUUUCCUUUUUAUUAUCAAAUUUCCAUUUCUUUAAACAUCUUUAAUCUUGAUCUUUAAUCUUAAUCUAUCCUUAACUUUAACCUGUACAGCUGGAAACCACUUAUUUUCAAUCCAACAUCACUCUAACAUUCUUUAAUUUUGCAGUAUUUCUGAAGAUAGUCUUUGAAUUUCUUCCAGUCUUCCUCCAUCGACUCUUCUCCCUGGUCACGGAUUCUGCCAGUCAUUUCCGCCAAUUCCAUAUAGUCCAUAAGUUUCAUCUGCCAUUCCUCCAGUGUGGGAAGUUCUUGUGUCUUCCAAUACUUUGCGAUGAGUAUUCUUGCUGCUGUUGUUGCAUACAUAAAGAAAGUUCUCUCCUAUUCUAACACCAUUUGGCCCACUAUGCCCAGGAGAAAGGCCUCUGGUUUCUUGGGAAAGGUAUACUUAAAUACCUUUUUUAAUUCAUUAUAUAUCUUUUCCCAGAAAGCCUUAAUCUUUGGGCACGUCCACCAAAGGUAUGAUUGUCAGUAAAUUAAUGAACAGAUGUUCAGGGGGGAAAUUUGGAGGUCAGCCUGAUCAUUUCCCCUGUUCAGAUGAAGCUUUUCAGCACUGAUAGCAGACUGGACCACUGUUCUUUUCUUACUCCUUGCAGUUAUUUUUGCAUGCUCUUUUGUCGUCCCAUAAACAGACAGAAACCAUUUUGAUGAAAUAACACAAGCAUGUGCUGGUGUUUUUUCAUUUUGUUGUUUUUGAUGUAGAGAAACCUAGUUAUCAUCACAGCUGUAAUUAUCAAUCUCGCCAUGACUAAGUAUCUCUUGAAUAAUGUCUCCAUAGAUUUCCAGACAAUAUUAGCCAGAGUCUAAACAUGGGCAUAAAACACCUUCCUGCUAUUCUAAGCAAGGGAGAGGGAAGAGGAAGAGAAAGGAUUUCUGCUUUUCUCUUUGUUGAGAUGUAAAAUAGGAUUUUAAUUUGUGAAUUGGUAGGAAAGUGCUGUUCCUGUCAAGGCAGAGUAUUGUACUGAGCGUGGUUCUGAAGCUAAGGUUCAUUUUCCAGAUGGAAAUGAGGGUGUCGGAUGAGAAAGAAUAUUUGCCUCAAUAUGUUGCUGUUUGUUGUGCCCAUUCUCUUUCAUCUGCCACAUAUGGUGUGCAAACAUACAUGUUGCACCAUCCAUGAUCUGUCCAGAAUUCCACAUGAAUACUACCAACCUGGUGAUCUUAUUAUUGGCGGACUUGCUUCUCACCUCUUUACCUCUUUUGACAAAGUAGACUUCACAGAAAGGCUAACCACCCAUCAACUUCUUAAUACCUUGUAAAUACUUCAUGUAUCAAGUAAUCAGGUGGUACAGAAACAUUCCCCAGCGCUAACCAGGCUUACUGAGAAGCAUGUUCCACUGAUUUUAGAGGGAUUUCCUUCCAGGCAGAGGUGUCGGGGAGGGGGGACCAUUUCAGAGCUUUUGAGUUGGCUUGGAAGGUGGGAAAUGGAGAUCAGAAUGUGUCGUCAGUGAGAUGAGAGAGUCUUCCUUUCAUUCAUGUGUUCUCUCUUCCCCACAUCCCACCAAAUUUCUUCCAAGAAGGGUUUCACAAGAGGAGCCACAACUUAAACUUACCUAGUUUAAGAUGGAAAGCCCUUCUCUGUUCUGAAUAUUGAACUUCACCUCUGAAAGUUUGGGGUGAAGGGUCUUAAAAGCUCACCUCUCCUUUGAGAUGAAAUUCUCAUUCAGAUGUUCUCAUCCAAGUCAGGCUAGUCUUAUAUGACCCUCCCAGUUUAAAAUGUGUCACAGGUUUGAAUAUGAUGAGAAUAACUCUAUUAAGCCUGGUUACCUGGUUCUCUGCAUUUUGAUACAGCUUUUUUGUUGGAUCAGCUCAGUACCUGUAAAUAAAUGAUUUCUAUAUGUCUAAGCCCAAAGGGCAGUCUGUACACUUUAUUUUUAUCAUGUUAGAUCUUCGGAUGAAGGGGGGUAUAUUAUUUUUUUUAUUAUUAUUAUUAUUAUUAUUAUUAUUAAUCAGCUUCAUGGUUUCAAAAUAUUUUAAGGCUUCUGUUGAUGUCUCUGUGUGACUGUCAAUGUCUGUAGCCUUAUGCUGUCACUAUGGUGCAGGCUUGUUCGAUGACAGAGGACUGGUGACAGGGGAAGAGAGGGAAUUUCAAUUAUAGACAGGGCUGGAGGAGGUCCAUUUAUUCCAAUUGGCCCAGGCAACAACAGACUAAUUGGCUGAAGGUUCUGAUCAGCCAAGAAAUGGCAGUUAACUGUCAGUUGGGGCAGUUGGGAAAUGGCAGUUAACUGUCAGUUGGGGCAGUUGGGAAAUGGCAGUUAACUGUCAGUUAACUGUAAGGAGGGAGGUGUGAGGGGAAAACCAAAGAAAGCUGAAGUGAAAGUGGACAGCUGAGGCUUAAAUAUUAAGCUAUAUUUUGUGUUGAAGAUCAGAACAAGUGAGCUGGUGUCUACUUUAAGGUAGGAGGCUGCUCAGUUCUUACAAAUCAGUUCACAUUUAAAUAUGAACCUACCAAAAUUUGCUUGCUCUAAAAAGGUAUCUAAACCAAAACAGAGCCUUCAUUUGAAAAUUAUAUUUCUCCAGAUUUUGCAGUGCAAUCUUCUAGCCAUGUAUACAAAAAUGCCUAUACGGAUGUAAAGUUUCCGUAAAAAUGCAUAUACAGUGGUACCUUGGGUUAAGAACUUAAUUCGUUCUGGAAGUCCGUUCUUAACCUGAAACUGUUUGUAACCUGAGCUACCACUUUAGCUUAUGGGGCCUUCUGCUGCCACUGUGCUGCUGCCACAUGAUUUAUGUUCUCAUCCUGAAGCAAAGUUCUUAAUCUGAGGUACUAUUUCUGGGUUAGCGGAGACUGUAACCUGAAGCGUCUGUAACCUGAAGCAUCUGUAACCUGAGGUACCACUGUAUUAAUAAAAGUGAGCUACAAGUAUAAAAGAGGGAUACAAUGUAUUCCUUCAGGGGAAACUCCUUUGCAUAUAUAAUAGGGUACAAUUUGCACUAAAAUGCUGAAGAAUUGUCAAGCAUUCCCCCCUUUUUAACUUUCAUAGCAUAUAUUUCAAAAAUAAAGCAUGAAAUUCUCAUUGCAGUGUUGUGCCAAAGAACUACCAGCAUAUUCUGGCCUUGAUAUUUGCUGUCAAGGAGAUCAAUGAGAACCCCAAGAUCUUACCAAAUAUAACCUUAGGAUUCCACAUCUAUGAAAGUUACUUCAAUGAAAGGAUGACCUAUCGGGCUGCUCUGAACCUUCCCUCCACACUUAUACCCAACUACAAGUGCGGCACCCAGAAACACCUGGUGGCAGUUAUUGGGGGACUGGACUUUGAUACCUCCCUCUACAUGGCAGACAUAUUGAGCAUCUACAAGAUUCCCCAGGUAAGAUACAAUCACCAUGAUCUUUUCUAUCCAAAAACGUUUUGUAGAAUUGUGACUAAAAAAGGAGGGUGGUCCUGCUCUUCACAAAAUGUAUUUCCUGUUUGCUUUGCAAAUUUAAUAACCUGUGUAGCACAAAACAGAUAGUAAUGAGCCAUCAGCAGCCUUUUAACAUGUCUGUUCUAGAUCAGCAGCCUUCUCUCGCCUUCUUAAACACACUUGCCUUUUCUCUCUGCUGUAGGUCUGAGCAGUGCCUCCCCUGACUCCUCUAACUAGUCUGGUGUCCCAAGUGCAGUGGAUGAUGCAGCCCUAUUGGUAUAUUGAAGGAGGAUUCAAUGGCAGGACCAGUUGGUUUCUAUCUCAGGCAGCAGAAUGUAUUAGGUGUGACCUGGCCUCACCCAAUAAACCAAGAAGUGUGGGUGGUAUGGGAGAAGGUGGCCCUAUAGAUAUAUGAGGUUCAGACAAUUUAGAGCUUUUAAAGGUCAAUACUAGUAUUUUCAAUAGGUGACUUUCUCUUUAUGUUUGGAAAUAGUUCUGCACAGAGCUUCUACUGAGGCAUGCAGAGAAUGGUCUGGAUUGGCCAACAAACGUUGCACUUUGGCUCAUGUGUUGGCAGAAAGGUCCCAGCUUUCAACGGAGGUAAAGGAGGCAUGACCUACACAAGAUUGGCAACAGCAGCUUACUACUCUAGGCCCUUUACACCCUCAUGCAUUAAUUAGAGCUAAACAUGCUAGUUAUAUAAGGCUGCAAUUUAUCCCAUGGUUAGGGCUCAGGAAACACCACCCCCACCCCAGUCCUGCUUUCCGCCUUCCUGACUGAGAAGGUACUGUGCUUAUGGGAGACAGCUCAUCACACCUUGCUUCCUUACUCCAACUACUCAAAAAAACCAACAAAAAAACCCCCCCUCCAUUCUGCAAAUUGACAUUUCUUCCAACUUUGCCUAUGGCUUACUGGCUGGAGACUUAAGCUGCUCUUUUACAAAUCUGGAAGCCUGCCUAUCACGAGGCAGCUGUGCACACGUUCUGACAUUUGUGUGUGAUUCUGUGCGUCUGUAGUACAAUAGAAGUUUGGAAAGGAAGGGAAGGCAGGACGUCCUAAAAUGAGGAGAUGAAAUGUUGUGAUGAAACAAAGGGGAUGAAAUGGAGAAGGAAAAUUAGGGAGAGGGACAGCAGCAGAUCAGGAAAGCAAGGAGAAUGAACUUGAGACAGAAGAUGAGAAGAAAGGAGAGCAAAGCAGGGCAGCACUCCAUGGAGGCCAAAUCGGCCACCCUCCCAACUUUCUGGAGUCUCCUUCCUGAGGCAACUGGCUUAUCUCAUCUCUAUGGUGGGUGGGCCUUGAAUACACAUACAAUCCUUCUUCUGCAUUAAUGAAUUAUGCCUCUUUAUUCCUUUUAGCUCACUUAUGGUUCCUUUGCUCCAGAAGAUGCUGGUCAAAGCCAAUCCACUUCCUUCUAUAGGAUGGUGCCCAAUGAAGCCCAUCAGUACACUGGGAUUGUUGAGUUACUUCUGCACUUUGGUUGGACGUGGGUUGGGCUGCUCGCAGUGGAUAAUGACAGUGGAGAGAGAUUUAUUCAGACCCUGAAACCUCUGCUCUCCCAGAAAGGCAUUUGCUUGGCCUUCUCAAAGACAACCCUGAAAAUCACAUAUUUGGCAGAGUUUUAUGAUUUGCAGUCUGACUUAAUUCAAAUCUAUCAUGUUAUUAUGGAAAGUGAAGCCAAGAUAGUUGUUUUCUAUGGCGGAACAACAUCCAUGGUUCGCUUGCGAAUAAUGCUAGUGCUAGGUGAAAUGGAAAAUAUUAACAAAACAUCUGUGGGCAAGGUGUGGAUUCUGACAGCACAGGUGGAUUUCACAGCAUUGACGUAUCAAAUGAGCAUGGAUAUGCAAGUCUUCCAUGGUUCCCUUUCCUUUGCAGUUUAUUCAACUGUGGUACAAGGAUUCAAAGCCUUUCUUCAGGUACAAAAUCCUUUUGAGGCAAAUGGAAAUGGCUUUGUCAAGCAGUUCUGGGCACAGGUAUUUCUCUGUUUAUUUCCAAACUCCAAUACAGAGGAGCAGGCCAGUGGAACCUGCACUGGUGAGGAGAAGCUGGAAAAUCUCCCUUCGUCUGGCUUUGAGAUGAGCAUAACAAGCCACAGCUAUAGCAUCUAUAAUGCUGUUUAUGCCGCAGCACAUGCUCUACAUGCCAUGUUCUUGUCCAGGACCAAAUACAGGGCAGCAGUGGAAGGAGGGAUGCAGAAGCUUCGGAAACUGCAGCCUUGGCAGGUAAUGCCUAUUAUAACGUACAAGUUAUUUGACAUGGGCAGUGAAAUGCUCUCUUUCAGUACAGGGUUAUAAAGACUAGGACUAGAAACCUGAGAAACAAUUUCUAUUCAAAUGCGAUUUUGGUUUUAAACACAGUGUAAGGUAGUCUCUAUGGGAGUAUAUUGUAUUAAGGGGUAUCAGAGUUUUUAGGGAGCUAACCAGGCUGGGAUAGCAGGGAUAGAAAGCUUGUUGGUUUCUGUAUGUCUGAUGUAGAUUUUCAAUUUUGUUGUUCUGUAUGAGACAAUGACAAUAAAAUUAUCGUAUUGUAUUGUAUCGAAAUGUAGAAGACCACACUGAAAAUUUCCAAGUACUGACUGUAGACUAGGAUCCUCCGCUUAACGUAUGCAGAUAAGCUGCUCCUCCAGUUGUUAAGCAGUAGCUGCGAAUCCUGCACUGUGCUGCUUCUUUGUUAAUAGGUACCUAUGUUUGUAGAGAAACUGUCAGUGAAGGAGGACCUGAUUUUGCUCUGUCCUGCUCCAUUACAGGCAGUUUCUCUGCACACAAGUUAAGGGGAGGAUCCAAGCCUACAAUGAAAAAAGGUGAGAUCAGUUCAGAGAAUUCACAUGCAGGCUGAGUUUCCCCAAAGCCAAACGGCUUUGUUGCCCAUUUCCUCCUAAAGUGAAGGGAAGUGACAUAGACUAAGCCUGGUAGGACAGAUUGCUCCAUGGCAUUAAUCCCCUUCAUGCGUUGAUUAGAUGCAUGAUGGUUAUUUGAGGCCGGUUACCCUACAAUUCUCUUCCAUGGGGUGGGAGAUAUCCAAGCAGUGGGAACUGAACGCCAUACAUUUUUCCUCAUUUCUUCUUGGUCAGGAAUGCAUUAGGAUUUUCCCUAUAGGAGAGAAAGGAAAUCAUUGGCCCUCUCUGUGAAUGCUCGCCUUACGAACCAUUUCCAAUGAUUGGAUUCUGCUUGCAUAGUAGUCCCUGCCAGUACUGAAUAUUGGAGGCAUCCUGAGUGUCAGAGACAUAUGCAUUACUUCAUAGUUCCUAUUUUUCUUUCAAUGCAGCUCCAUCCCUUCCUCAGGAGUGUCUCCUUUAACAACUCUGCUGGAGAAACGGUAACUUUCAGUGAGAGCAGGGAAGUAGAAGCUGGCUUUGAUAUUACCAACAUAGUCACUUUUCCAAAUAACUCCUUCAGGAGAGUCAAGGUUGGAAGAGUGGGUGGGGAGGCCGUCCCAGGCCAGCUGAUUUCCAUUGAUGACAACAGAAUGGUGUGGCACCAGAGCUUUCACCAGGUGAGGCAUAAUUCCUACAUCCAUGAGAGAUAGGAAAAGAGAAUAUCUUUAACAUUACAUUUCAACAGAUCACGCUCCAUUUGAGAUAUUUGUUCACCAGAUGGUCAGGUUGAGUACACUUUUUUUAAAGCAUGAAUAGAAAAAUGAGUAGUUUGGCUCUGAGUCUGGAAUAAGUAAUUUAAUGUCUUCCUAUUUCUAGUUGGGAGUGGGGGGAAAUACUACUAAUUUCUGUGUGCUAAAAUGUUUAUGUGUUUUUUUUAAAAUGGGCAGGUUCCACCCAUUUCGCUAUGUAACUCAAAUUGCCCUCCUGGUUCCAGGAAGGAAAAGAAGGAGGGGGAGCCAUUCUGCUGCUAUGAUUGUGCUCCAUGUCCCCAAGGCAAGAUUUCAUCACAGAAAGGUAGGAGACACAAUAUAUACAAGGUACUUUUGGAAUGUAUAAAGGAGACAUCUGUGAUAUUUCUAUUUGUAGUUGCUAUCCAGAACAUCUGAAAUCUGAAUAUAUUAUUUUCUCUCCAGAUAUGGAUGACUGUGUUGCAUGCCCCGAAGACCACUAUCCACACAGGAACCAAUCACAAUGCAUUCCAAAGACCAUCAGCUUCCUGUCUUUUAAAGAGCCUCUGGGCACGAGCUUAGCAUUGUUGGCUCUUUCUCUGUUUCUCCUCACAAUAUUAGUCCUUGCCAUCUUCAUUAAACAUCAGGACACACCACUUGUCAGAGCAAACAAUCGGGACCUCACCUACACUCUCCUCACUUUCCUCCUGCUCUGCUUCCUCUGCCCAUUGAUUUUCCUCAGCCCUCCAGAAAGAGUAAGCUGCCUGCUCCGACAAAUGGCUUUUGGCCUUGUUUUUACAGUGACUGUUUCUUGUGUUCUGGCCAAAACGAUCACGGUGGUUCUGGCCUUUGUGGCCACCAAACCAGGAUCCCGAAUGAGGAAGUGGGUGGGGAAAAGACUGGCAAGCUCCAUUGUGAUUUCUUGUUCCCUUAUCCAAGCAGGCAUUUGUGCUGUGUGGUUAGUAACCUCUCCCCCAUUUCCUGAUUCUGACAUGCAGUCUGUGAUGAGGGAAAUCAUUCUAGGCUGCAACGAAGGGUCAGUUGCCCUGUUUUACUGUGUCCUGGGCUACAUGGGCUUUUUGGCCAUUAUCAGCUUUGUUGUGGCCUUUUUUGCCAGGAAACUGCCUGACAGCUUCAAUGAGGCCAAAUUCAUCACCUUCAGCAUGUUGUUGUUUUGUAGUGUUUGGAUCUCCUUUCUUCCAGUGUACCUGAGCACCAAGGGGAAAUACAUGGUGGCUGUGGAGAUCUUCUCCAUCUUGGCCUCCAGUGCUGGCUUACUGGGCUCCAUCUUUGCUCCCAAAUGCUACAUCAUUGUGUUGAGACCUGAUCUGAACAGCAAGGAGAAGUUAAUAAAGAAGAAAUAACAAAUUACCCUAACAUCUCUGUUUUUUGUUCUAUCAGAAUAUGGGCAAAUUAAUCUCUCUUUUUCUACAUCGUAUAACCAUACUGUAUUUUAUCUGUUACAAUUCCUAUGUGCAAUUACUUUUAAAAUCCUCUGUGGUCUUUCUGAAAUAGGGGUCCACAACCUUUUUCAAUGUUUGGGAAACUAAGAAACUGUCAUGGAGACUGCUAAGUAUGAAGGCCUGACUAGAACAUCAGAUGGUGGUUAAUUAUACACUGAAAAAGAGAAAACAAUAUAUUGGGAGGCUUAGAAAGCUUCUCCUUAUUCUUUUCUAUGUGAUUCUCCAGUAAGUAAGGUUUCAGUGGAACUGCUACUAUCAUGAUUAAUCAGUACCAUUGAUUUCAGUAGUUACAGGCAAUAUUUGCUACACAAUUUCUGGUUUUGUUUUUUUUUUAAUAAAAAAAUGUUCCUCCAGCCUCAUGAGGAGCCUCUUCAGUAGGGCUGGUGAGUCUGGGCCUCGCCCCCUAGGCCAGUUGGAAAAGGUCUUGAGGAGAGCGACCUUCACGCCUCACAGCUGGGUGAUGUUCCUCCGGCCUCAUUGUUCUUUUUUUUUUUUUUAAUAAUUUUUUAUUAAGGUUUUAAACAAACAAAAAAGAAAAACAACACACACAAAAAACAAUACCUAACUUAACAAUAAAAACACAAAACAUAACAAUUAAAAACAAACUCUCUUUUCCUUUUCCAAUUUUAAGUUACUUAUUUUCUGGACUUCCUCAUACCUCCCUCUUUUGUAUUCCAAUCCACAUUAUUUGUCCAGCAGUUUCUUUUCCACUUUUUUAAUCUCAAUCUUUAAUUUAAUAAAACGUUAUAAUAUAUAACUUCAUCUUUUUUAAACCUAAUCCUUGAUCUUAAUGUCAUAUAGCUUUAAAUUUUUCCCUUUUAUUAUCAAAUUUCCAUUUCUUUAAACAUCUUUAAUCUUGAUCUUUAAUCUUAAUCUAUCCUUAACUUUAACCUGUACAGCUGGAAACCACUUGUUUUCAGUCCAACAUCACUCUAACAUUCCUUAAUUUUGCAGUGUUUCUGAAGAUAGUCUUUGAAUUUCUUCCAGUCUUCCUCCAUCAACUCUUCUCCCUGGUCACGGAUUCUACCAGUCAUUUCCGCCAAUUCCAUAUAGUCCAUAAGUUUCAUCUGCCAUUCCUCCAGCGUGGGAAGUUCUUGUGUCUUCCAAUACUUUGCGAUGAGUAUUCUUGCUGCUGUUGUUGCAUACAUAAAGAAAGUUCUAUCCUUUUUUAACACCAUUUGGCCUACUAUGCCCAGGAGAAAGGCCUCUGGUUUCUUGGGGAAGGUAUACUUAAAUACCUUUUUAAUUCAUUAUAUAUCAUUUCCCAGAAAGCCUUAAUCUUUGGGCACGUCCACCAAAGGUGAAAAAAUGUACCUUCAAUUUCUUUACAUUUCCAACAUUUGUUAUCGGGCAAGUGAUAGAUUUUCGCAAGCUUGACUGGGGUUAUGUACCACCUGUAUAUCAUUUUCAUAAUAUUCUCUCUUAAGGCAUUACAUGCCGUAAAUUUCAUACCUGUGGUUCAUAACUGUUCCCAGUCAGCAAACAUAAUGUUAUGACCAACGUCCUGUGCCCAUUUAAUCAUAGCCGAUUUUACCGUUUCAUCUUGAGUAUUCCAUUUCAGCAGCAGGUUAUACAUUCUUGACAAAUUCUUGGUAUUGGGUUCUAACAAUUCUGUUUCUAAUUUGGAACUUUCCACCUGGAAGCCAAUUUUCCUGUCCAAUUUAAAUACCUCCAUUAUUUGAUAAUAAUGAAGCCAGUCUCGCACUUUGUUUUUUAGUUUUUCAAAACUCUGCAAUUUCAGUCUAUCUCCGUCUUGUUCCAAAAUUUCCCAAUAUUUCGGCCAUUUGACCUCCAUAUUGACCUUUUUCAAGGCUUUCGCUUCCAUUGGUGACAGCCACCUUGGGGUUUUAUUUUCUAGCAAAUCCUUAUAUCUUAUCCAGACAUUAAACAGCGCUUUCCUGACAAUGUGGUUUUUAAAUGCUUUAUGUGCUUUGACCUUAUCAUACCAUAAAUAUGCAUGCCAUCCAAAUACAUUAUUAAAACCUUCUAGAUCCAAAAUGUCAGUGUUUUCAAGAAGUAGCCAUUCUUUCAACCAGCAAAAAGCUGCUGAUUCAUAGUACAGUUUAAGGUCUGGCAGGGCAAAUCCACCUCUUUCCUUUGCAUCCGUUAAUAUUUUAAAUUUUAUUCUGGGUUUCUUGCCCUGCCAGACAAAUUUAGAAAUAUCUUUCUGCCACCUCUUGAAACAAUCCAUUUUGUCCACGAUCUGCAAAGUUUGAAACAAAAACAACAUUCUGGGCAAUACAUUCAUCUUUAUCGCAGCAAUACGGCCUAGCAGUGAAAGCUUCAAAUUUGACCAAAUUUCUAAAUCUUUUUUUCACUUCUGACCAACAUUUUUCAUAAUUAUCUUUAAAUAAAUUCCCAUUUUUUGCUGUCAUGUUAAUCCCCAAGUAUUUAACUUUCUUAACCACUGUUAAACCUGUCUCAUUCUGAAACCUCUCUCUUUCAAACGAUGUUAAAUUUUUCUCUAAAACCUUGGUUUUUGACUUGUUCAAUUUAAAUCCUGCCACUUGACCAAAUUCUUGAAUCAGUUCUAAAACCCUUUUUGUACUAGAUUCUGGCUCCUGUAACGUCAAUACUAAGUCAUCUGCAAAUGCUCUCAAUUUAUAGUGUUUAAUUCCGACCUGUAUACCUUUAACCAUCUGGUCCCUUCUAAUCAUAUUCAGCAGAACCUCCAGGACCGAAAUAAAAGAAGUGGGGAAAUUGGGCAACCUUGUCGUGUCCCUUUUUCAAUUUUAAGUUCUUCCGUCACAACAUUAUUUACAAUUAGUUUAGCCUUUUGUUCUGAAUAAAUUGCACUUAUACCAUUCUCAAAACCUUGGCCUACCCCCAUACCCUGUAGAUUCUUCUUCAUAAAAUUCCAAGAAAUAUUGUCAAAGGCUUUCUCCGCGUCUACAAAUAUCAACACUGCUUUAGUGUUUAUAUUCACUUCUAAUUUUUCCAAGAUAUCAAUUAUAUUCCUCAAAUUGUCAGACAAAUGUCUUCCUGGGAGAAAGCCCGCUUGGUCUUUGUGAAUCUCUUCCAUCAACACUUUUUUAAAUCUCUUCGCCAAAAUAUCUGCAAAAAUUUUGUAAUCCACAUUAAGUAAUGAUAGGGCGGUAGUUCUUAAGUUGUGUCUUUUCAGUCUCUGUUUUUGGUACAAGUGUAAUAUAUGCUUCUUUCCACGACUCUGGUGCCCUCUUCCCCUCCAUAAUUUCAUUACAGACCUCUUUCAAUGGUUGAAUUAACCAUUCUUUUAAAGAUCUGUAGUAUCUAGAGGUCAAGCCGUCUGGUCCUGGAGAUUUACCCAGUUGCAUAUUUUGAAUGGCACCUUCUAUUUCCUGUUCAGUUAUUCUGCCAUUCAAAAUUAGUCUCUUUUCUUGAGAUAUUUUUGUAGUCCAUUUGUUUUCAAAAAUUGGUCUAAAUCUGUUUCUUUCACUGGCCCUUGAGUAUAUAGUCUUUUAAAAUACUUCUGGAAACAACUUCUAAUCUCUGCAGGGUUCUGUAUAUUCCUUCCUUCCACUUCUAAAUUCGUAAUCGUAUUUCGUUUUUGUCUCUUUUUCAUUUGCCAUGCCAACAAUUUACCACAUUUAUUAGCCGAUUCAAAAGUCUUUUGUCUCAUUUGUUUAAUUUUCCAUUCUAUUUCCUGAUUCAUUAUUUUCAUAUAUUGUACUUGAUAUAACUUUAACUCUCUCAGAACCUCUUGAGACUCCGGCCUCAUUGUUCUUACUUAUAACAAUGGUGGUAUUGCUAAUGGGCUUUGGUUCAGAAGAUGGAACUGGUUAGUUCUGAAUGAAUAUUUUGGAGAAAAAGCAUUUUGAACAUUAGUACAAUAAAAGUCCUUUUAAUUAGAAAAUACAAUAUUAUCUCACAUUCUUUGAAAAAUGGUGGAACAAGAAGAUUGGUAAAUAAAAAGACCAUUUUAUUCCAUGACCCACUAUGAAUACUGAAUACAUCUGGGCAAUUGUAAAGUUAAUUCUCUCUUACAUCUUGAUAUCUCAAAUACAUUAAUUAACCAUUCUUUUUGUAUUUGCUAAUCAUUUUUUCUUUAUUACAUCUAUAUAUCGCCCCUUAGAAUUGCCUUAGAAUUACAUUUAAGGAAGAUACCAAGAUGCUCUUGGAAUUUUAGCAGUCCCCAAAACAGCAAAAACUAGCUUACCUCACCCUAAUUGCAUAACAUACAUGGCCUAUUGCUCUCUAUCAGUCUACCCAAGAAGCGCAACAUUUAAGGUCUUAGCUGGUUGCUACAAGUUCAGAACUCAUGGCUCUAAGAAGCCUCUCUUGGACUCCUAUUCCAAUAAUUUGCAGCUUUCACCACUAUAACUAAGCCAAGUGUUACUGCCUGUGUUUUCUGACUGUGUAUGGAGAAACACAUGAACCUGACCUUUGAAGAAUUUGUAAGUAUGCCAAUUUUCACUGACCAGAUGUGUGGUCCUUUUCAAUGGUAAGGGGAGAGGGAAGUUUUGGAACUCAUGAGGGUAUAUUUUUUCCGAUCUAACAACCCAUAUUUUCACACUUUACUUUGCUGAAUUUUGUGAUUUGAAAUCUCUGCUAGGGUUCUCUCAGCAAAGAGCACUUGCCCCAAACCUGGAUCUUGGCGUCCAGGAAAUUCUCCCUGUUUAUACUUAAUUUUACUUGCCACCUACACAAAUCAUCUGCCAUAAUUCAAUCUCUUUCACAAUUUUUCAGUCUUAGUAUGAUUGUCAGUAAAUUAAUGAACAGAUGUUCAGGGGGAAAAUUUGGAGGUCAGACUGAUCAUUUCCCCUGUUCAGAUGAAGCUUUUCAGCACUGAUAGCAGACCACUGUUCUAUUCUUUUCUUCCUCCUUGUUGUUAUUUUUGCAUGCUCUUUUGUUGUCCCAUAAACAGACAGAAACCACUUUUGAUGAAAUAACACAAGCAUGUGCAGGUGUUUUUUCUGGUCAUUUUGUUGUUUUUGAUGUAGAGAGACCUAGUUAUCAUCACAACUGUAAUUAUCAAUCUCGUCAUGACUAAGUCUCUCUUGAAUAAUGUCUCAAUAGAUUUCCAGACAAUACCAGCCAGAGUUUGGGUAUAAAACCCCUUCCUGCCAUUCUAAGCAAGGGAGAGGGAAGAGAAAGAGGGAGGAUUUUUGCUUUUCUCUUUGUUGAGGUGUAUAAUAGGAUUUUAAUCUGUGAAUUGGUAGGGAAGUGCUGUUCCUGUCAAGGCAGAAUAUUGUACUGAGCGUGGUUCUGAAGCUGAGGUUCAUUUUCCAGAUGGAAAUGAGUGUGUCAGAUGAGAAAGAAUAUUUGCCUCAGUAUGUUGCUGUUUGUUGUGCCCAUUCUCUUUCAUCUGCCACAUAUGGUGUGCAAACAUACAUGUUGCACCAUGCAUGAUCUGUCCAGAAUUCCACAUGAAUACUACCAACCUGGUGAUCUUAUUAUUGGCGGACUUGCUUCUCACCUCUUUACCUCUUUUGACAAAGCAGACUUCAAAGAAAGGCUAACCACCCAUCAACUUCUUAAUACCUUGUAAAUACUUCAUGUAUCAAGUAAUCAGGUGAUACAGAAACAUCCCCCAGCUCUAACCAGGCUUACUGUGAAGCCUGUUCCACUGAUUAUAGAGGGAUUUCCUUCCAGGCAGAGGUGUUGGGGAGGGGGCACCAUUUCAGAGCUGAAGAUUUGGCAUGUAAGGAGGGAAAUGGAGAUCUGAAUGUGUCGUCAGUGAGAUGAGAGAGUCUUUCUUUCAUUCAUGUGUUCUCUCCUCCCCACACCCCACCAAAUUUCUUCCAAGAAGACUUUCAUAAGAGGAGCCACAACUUAAACUUACCUAGUUUAAGGUGGAAAGCCCUUCUCUGUUCUGAAUAUUGAACUUCAUCUCUGAAAGUUUGGGGUGAAGGGUCUUAAAGGCUCACCUCUCCUUUGAGGUGAAAUUCUCAUUCCGAUGUUCUCAUCCAAGUCAGGCUAGUCUUAUAUGACCCUCCCAGUUUAAAAUGUGUCACAGGUUUGAAUAUGAUGAGAAUAACUCCAUUAAGCCAGGCUACCUGCUUCUCUGCAUUUCAAUACACCUUUUCUUCUGGGAUCAGAUCAAUACCUGUAAAUAAACAAUUUGUAUAUGUCUAAGCCCAAAGGGCAGCCUGUACACUUUAUUUUUAUCUUGUGAGAUAUAUUAUUAUUAUUAAUCAGCUUCGUGGUUUCAAAAUAUUUCAAAAUAUUUUACGGCUUCUGUUGCUGUCUCUGUGUGACUGUCAAUAUCUGUAGCCUUCUGCUGUCACUAUGUUGCAGGCUUGUUAGAUGACAGAGGACUGGUGACAGGGAAAGAAAGGGAAUUUCAUUGUAUUAAUACCACUGUAUUAAUAAAAGUGAACUACAAGUAUAAAAGUGGGAUACAAUGUAUUCCUUCAGGGGAAACUCCUUUCCAUAUAUAAUAGGACACAAUUUCAACUAAAAUGCUGAAGAAUUGUCAAGCCUCCCCCCCCCCCUUUUAUAUUGUAUAGCAUAUAUUUCAAAAAUAUAGCAUGAAAUUCUCAUUGCAGUGUUGUGCCGAAGAACUACCAGCAUAUUCUGGCCUUGAUAUUUGCCGUCAAGGAGAUCAAUGAGAACCCCAAGAUCUUACCAAAUAUCACCUUAGGAUUCCACGUCUAUGACAGUUACUUCAAUGAAAGGAUGACCUAUCGGGCUGCUCUGAACCUUCUCUCCACACUUAUACCCAACUACAAGUGUGACAUCCAGAAACACCUGGUGGCAGUUAUUGGGGGACUGGACUUUGAUACCUCCCUCUACAUGGCAGACAUAUUGAGCAUCUACAAGAUUCCCCAGGUAAGAUACUUCCUUGGACUCUUCACACUCAAUUACCAUUAUCUUUUCUCUCCAAAAAUGUUUUGUAGAGUUGUGGCUGAAAAAGGAGGGUGGUCCUGCUCUUCACAAAACUUGUUUCCUCUUUACUUUGCAAAUUAAAUAACCUGUGUAGCACAAAACAGAUAGUAGUGAGCCAUCAGCAGCAUUUAAAGAUGUCUGCUCUAGGUGGGCAGUCCUAUUUCCCCUUCUUAAGCACACUUGCCUUUCUCUCUGCUCUAGGUCUGAGCAGUGCCUCCCCUGACUCCUCUAACUAGUCUGGUGUCCCAAGUGCAGUGGAUGAAGCGGUCCUAUUGGUAUAUUGAAGGAGGAUUCAAAGGCAGGACCAGUUGGUUUCUAUCUCAGGCACCAGAAUGUAUUAGGUGUGACCUGGCCUAACCCAAUAAACCAAGAAGUGUGGGUGGUAUGGGAGAAGGUGGCCCUCUAGAUAUAUGAGGUGCAGACAAAUUAGAGCUUUCAAAGGUCAAUACUAGGAUUUUCAAUAGGUGACUUUCUCUUUAUGUUUGGAAAUGGUCCUGUUUCCUGGGCCAGUUAGAAACAAAGAUCAGUAGCUUUGUCUUCCACAGCACAGAGCUUCUACUGAGGCAUGCAGAGAAUAGUCUGGAUUGGCCAACAAACUUUGCACUUCUUCAACAUUUAUGAAUUAUGUCUCUUUAUUCCUUUUAGCUCACUUAUGGUUCCUUUGCUCCAGAAGAUCCUGGUCAAAGCCAAUCUACUUUCUUCUAUAGGAUGGUGCCCAAUGAAGCCCAUCAGUACACUGGGAUUGUUGAGUUACUUCUGCACUUUGGUUGGACGUGGGUUGGGCUGAUCGCAGUGGAUAAUGACAGUGGAGAGAGAUUUAUUCAGAACCUGAAACCUCUCCUCUCCCAGAAAGGCAUUUGCUUGGCCUUCUCAGAGACAACCCUGAAAAUGACUCAUUUGACUGAGUAUUAUGUCAUGUAUUCCCACUUGAUCCAAAUCUAUCAUGUUAUUAUGGAAAGUGAAACCAAGGUUGUUGUUUUCUAUGGAGGAACAACAUCCAUGGUUCGCUUGCGAACAAUGCUAGCGCUAGGUGAAAUGGAAAAUAUCAACAAAACAUCUGUGGACAAGGUGUGGAUACUGACAGCACAGGUGGAUUUCACAGCAUUGACCUAUCAAAUGAGUUGGGAUAUGCAUGUCUUCCACGGUUCCCUCUCCUUUGCAGUUCAUUCAAAUGUGGUACAAGGAUUCAAAGCCUUUCUUCAGGUACAAAAUCCUUUUGAGGCAAAUGGAAAUGGCUUUGUCAAGCAGUUCUGGGCACAGGUAUUUCUCUGUUUAUUUCCAAACUCCAAUACAGAGGAGCAGGCCAGUGGAACCUGCACUGGCAAGGAGAAGCUGGAAAAUCUCCCUUCGUCUGGCUUUGAGAUGAGCAUAACAAGCCACAGCUAUAGUGUCUCUAAUGCUGUUUAUGCCACAGCACAUGCUCUACAUGCCAUGUUCUUGUCCAGGACCAAAUACAGGGCAGCGGUGGAAGGAGGGAUGCAGAAGCUACAGAAACUGCAGCCUUGGCAGGUAAUGCCUAUUAUAACGUACAAGUUAUUUGACAUGGGCCGUGAAAUGUAGAAGACUACACUGAAAAUUUUCAAGUACUGAGUGUAGACUAGGAUCCUUCACUUAACGUAAGCAUAGAAUUCACAUGCAGGCUGAGUUUCCCCAAAGCCAAACGGCUUUGUUGCCCAUUUCCUCCUAAAGUGAAGGGAAGUGACAUAGACGAAGCCUGGUAGGACAGCUUACUCCAUGGCAUUAACCCCCUUCAUGGGUUGAUUAAAUGUCUGCAUGGUGGUUAUAUGAGGCCGUUUACCCUAUAAUUCUCUUCUGUGGGGUGAGAGAUAUCCAAGUAGUGGGAACUGAUUUUUUUCUCAUUUCCUCUUGGUCGGGAAUGCAUUAGGAUUUUCCCUAUAGGAGAGAAAGGAAAUCAUUGGCUCUCUCUUACGAGCCAUUUCCAAUGAAUGGAUUCUGUUUGCAUAGCAGUCCCUGCCAGUAC